CCUAUUAAGAAUAGAAUUUCUUGUAGGCUUUGUGACCAGGGGGAUUAGCGCUGCUUUCCCAAGACAGGUUUAUAUGUGAUUAUGAUCUUCAGGCUUUGCCUAACCAGGUGGGCAUUAUUUUAUUAUUACGUAUAUAGAGAUCCCCUGCGUGACGUAGGCCUCUUAUACGAAUAUAUGCAUGAGAUGAUUUUAACUGUUAAUUUCAGUUUAUUAUUAUGCCCAAAUGAUAAAUGACUCUUAUGAAAUGAAAAUGAAAUGCUAAUGAAAUGAAAUGUUUAUGAAAUGAUUGACUGCCAAAAAUGUUUUAUGUUUUUAUAUGUAUCCUAUCUGUGUUGGUUCGCCAACUUUAAAGGAAAUCCAAUUGGGAUCCUAUGCUAGACAAAGGUCGCUAGCUAGGGUUAACGUGUACACUCAUGGAGACCGCGAGUCGCUUGCGACCGGUCUUGGCGUCCGUGGUAAGGAGGCCUCCUUCCCGGCGCGUGACAGAAAGGAACAGAUAUGGAUCAUAUGAAGGAAAAUGAUCGGCCGAUCGACUUUAUGAAAAUGAAAGAAAUAUUUUAGUAAGCGCAGGUCUUUCAAGAAAACCCCUGUGUGUUACUGUUAUGGCAGUUCAAUUUAUAUAUGUAUGCAUGAUGUAUUUUCGGCUAUGCCCACUGAGUAUUUUUAUACUCAGCCCUGCAUGUAUUUCUAAAUGUGCAGGUUGAGCAGUUGAUGGAAUGGAAUGAUGUUGAGCGGGUGUUCCUUUGACAUUUCAAGAAAUAUAACCUUGAGUAUACAUCUUCAUAUGUAUAUCUCACACGUUUUUCCGCUGCAAAACACUUUGAUUAGGAUAACUCUAUGUUAUGAAGUUGUUACACGUGUUAUUGGGUAACCCACCUUAAUCAGUUCUCUUUUAUGUGUAUGUUUUAUAAGUAUCCAAAUGAUCAUAUAUGAUCCUAGCUUUUUAUCUAUAAGUGAUAUUUUCAUAUACUUUAAUGUUAAGUAAUUGUCCAUUUCCA
Molecule: long non-coding RNA, 998 nt
Filed under: Salvia miltiorrhiza (redroot sage)
Lineage: Eukaryota; Viridiplantae; Streptophyta; Magnoliopsida; Lamiales; Lamiaceae
Description: long non-coding RNA (SMIL_LNC006792)
Source: RNAcentral